RNAcentral lists this transfer RNA (73 nucleotides) under Podarcis lilfordi (Lilford's wall lizard). RNAcentral describes it as "tRNA.Lys". The stretch from base 8 to 65 matches the Rfam family "tRNA", at positions 8 to 63 of the family's 71-position model. Rfam says of the family: Transfer RNA (tRNA) molecules are approximately 80 nucleotides in length. Their secondary structure includes four short double-helical elements and three loops (D, anti-codon, and T loops). The record is from RNAcentral. Lineage: Eukaryota; Metazoa; Chordata; Lepidosauria; Squamata; Lacertidae.
GCUGUUAUAGCUCAGUCAGUAGAGCAUGAGGCUCUUAAUCUAAGGGUUGUGGGUUUGAGCCCCACAUUGGGCA